GACGAACGCUGGCGGCGUGCUUAACACAUGCAAGUCGAACGAAAAGAGGGAAAGAGCUUGCUCUUUCCGGAAUUGAGUGGCAAACGGGUGAGUAACACGUAAACAACCUGCCUUCAGGAUGGGGACAACAGACGGAAACGACUGCUAAUACCGAAUAAGUUCCAAGGGCCGCAUGGCCCAUGGAAGAAAAGGUGGCCUCUACCUGUAAGCUAUCGCCUGAAGAGGGGUUUGCGUCUGAUUAGCUGGUUGGAGGGGUAACGGCCCACCAAGGCGACGAUCAGUAGCCGGAAUGAGAGGAUGAACGGCCACACUGGAAUUGAGACACGGUCCAGACUCCUACGGGAGGCAGCAGUGGGGAAUCUUCCGCAAUGGGCGAAAGCCUGACGGAGCAACGCCGCGUGAGUGAUGACGGCCUUCGGGUUGUAAAACUCUGUGAUCCGGGACGAAAAGGCAGAGUGCGAAGAACAAACUGCAUUGACGGUACCGGAAAAGCAAGCCACGGCUAACUACGUG
Molecule: ribosomal RNA, 513 nt
Filed under: uncultured bacterium
Lineage: Bacteria
Description: partial 16S ribosomal RNA
Rfam family: Bacterial small subunit ribosomal RNA
Source: RNAcentral